GAUGAACGCUGGCGGCAUGCCUAAUACAUGCAAGUCGAACGAGGCAUCUUCGGAUGCCUAGUGGCGAACGGGUGAGUAACACGUAGGGAACCUGCCCAUGCGGCCGGGACAACUUCCGGAAACGGAUGCUGAUACCGGAUAAGGAAAGCGAAGGCAUCUUUGCUUUGUUAAAGGAGCUGCAAGGCUCCGCGCAUGGAUGGACCUGCGGUGCAUUAGCUGGUUGGUGAGGUAAAGGCUCACCAAGGCGACGAUGCAUAGCCGGCCUGAGAGGGCGAACGGCCACACUGGGACUGAGACACGGCCCAGACUCCUACGGGAGGCAGCAGUAGGGAAUUUUCGUCAAUGGGCGCAAGCCUGAACGAGCAAUGCCGCGUGAACGAGGAAGGUCUUCGGAUCGUAAAGUUCUGUUGAGAGGGAAAAAGGGUCACCAGAGGAAAUGCUGGUGAAGUGAUAUUACCUUUCGAGGAAGUCACGGCUAACUACGUGCCAGCAGC
Molecule: ribosomal RNA, 494 nt
Filed under: uncultured bacterium
Lineage: Bacteria
Description: bacterial SSU rRNA
Rfam family: Bacterial small subunit ribosomal RNA
Source: RNAcentral